UUUCGAGACUCGAAUGUCCAGUGUGUCCUUGCAGUCGGGGAGCCGGGCUGGUAGAAUGCGCAGAAGCCAAAUGUGAGCUGGAAGCGUGCCAGCACAAAUGCACAGAGGCGCUUCUCAGCGAAGAAGCAUUGUUUCUGUGAGUAAAUGCCAAGGCUGGCCCUGGGCUAAUUGAAAUGAGCAGCUGCGUGGGUCACAGGAAGAAAUGAAGCUGGGACCUCUUGAACAGAAUCUCAAACUUGAUGCCAUUAUCGGGGAGAAGAGUGUUUGGGGUCUGCCAAGGGUUCCUCUCAGUCACGGGUAACUUGGAACUCGGCCAUUUCUGGAGGCGAGGUUCUUUCCUCCUGGGAUUCUCUGGCAUUGUGCUCGUUCAUAAAACUGGACAUCGCUCCUCUUCACGAGGCCACAGACUCAAAACAAUCCUCUGGAGGCAGUGCUGGCUGGGUCCCCCUGAGGGAGGUACAUUUCUGGUGUCUCUUUUUUUCCUUACCUGUUUCUAGGUGUGGAGGGUGAGAAGAAUGACGUAAGAUGUAGAGGCUGAGUGAGCUCUUGGUGUAGGCAAGGGAUGAGUCUUUAAAUGAUAGGUGCCAACCUCCCUGUAUCAGAUAGUGUAGAGCUGUGAGUUUUCUUCCCAUAUGUACAUAUCGAGGCUCAUUUUUAAGAGGGUUUGCUUUUUAAUUUUUUUCCCCUGAUGGUUAGGACACAUUAGUAGUGUGAAUUUCUUUCUGAGUUAUCAUGCGUAUGCGCCCCCCUACUCUAGUGCCUUCCUGUGUUCUUACUUCCUGUGUUCAUACUUCCUGUGUUCUUACUUCCUGUGUUCUUACUUCCUGUGUUCAUACUUUCUGUGUUCUUACUUCCUGUGUUCAUACUCCCUGUGUUCUUACUUCCUGUAUUCUUACUUCCUGUGUUCUUACUUCCUGUGUUCAUACUUUGAGAACUUUGACCUUUAAUUCAAGUUUUGGUCUCUGUUGUCCUUUCCGUAAGCUCUCUUUCUGGGUCUUUUGUUUUUCAGUGGUUCAAUAACUCUACAUUGACCUGUUCUUUUGGUUUCCUCAUUGCUUUAAAUAUCCCUUCUUAUUAGCCUCUACCUAGUAGCCUAUUCUCAGGUAUUUUGCAUUUGUAUGUGCUGCGCACAUGUAUGUAUUCGGUAUGCAUGCACUACUGUGACAGAUGCCAAAGGUUGACAGUGUUUUCCUGCACCAUUAUGUAUUGAGGCCGGCCCUCUCACUUGAACCCAGAACUUGCUGGUUUGGAUGGCUCAACUAGUCAGCUUGCUCCAGGGUGGCCCUAGGGCUGGAAUUGUAAGUGGGCAGGCAUACUCACCAAGCAUUCUGAGGUUUUGCAGUCCGGUACUCAUGAUUGCAUACCAACGCUUUACCCUGUGAGCGAUCUCUUCAGUUCCUAGUCUUCAGUUUUUACCACACACCCAGUGGAAAACUGACAUUCACAUUCCUCCAAGUGGACCUGCAAUGAAAAAGAUACAUCUACUAUGGCCAUCAAUUAAUAACUAGCUCCCAAAUCCAUUAGCUAUGGACUUGGUGUUUAAUAUGUCCAACUACUGACUGAAUACAACAUGAAAAAGAUAUCUGGGGCUAUAUUGAUGCUUAGCCAUCUGGGGAGGAUUUUCUGAGAAUUCUAAAGGGUACUGCAUGUAUAGAUGAUUGGGUCGGUUGUACAGUAUCUUUUUAACAUAAGAGAUGUGGACACUCACAUUCAUCUGUGAGACAAUCAAGACGCACUAACAUCAUUUGAAUUCCUUAGUAAUUAGGAAUUCCUUAGUAAUUAGGCCAGAAAAUGGAACAGGUACACAGUGCAACCAUAUGGGUUGCCAAUAGAUUAGCGAACUUCAUGAAUCAGAGUGCAUUUUUUUUUACCAGAAAAAAUUGGCUCUUGAUGUAUCAUCUACAGAACACCAACAAUAUGUGGUCUGGUAUUCAUUAACGGCAGAUUCAUAUACUCCACACCAGGCCGUGGUGACUCCCGAGCCCCACAACUGAGAAAAGAAAUAAGCGUGAGAAGCAUAAGAAAUGUUUUGAGAAAAGCCACCAAGAUUAUCUAAGUUUUAGAAAAGUAAGGCCUUUGAGGAAAGGUCAGAGGCUGGGGAUUAUUCUGGAUAAAGAAUGAUUUUGAGAUGAUCUGUGAGUAUUUUGAGUUUUCUCAUUCAGAGAACAGUUUGUUAAGCACCUCUUUUCUCUGUCACCACUAAAGGCUAAAAGUGGAGCAGAGAGGAUUUGCAGGGGGAGGGGCCAUGAGGAAGACCAUCCAGCUGUGCCCUUCUGCUGCCCCACCUAGCACCUCAGGGCCUUGGUGUGUGCUGCAGUUCUCCUGGGAGCCAGGGAGACCGUAGCUUUCCCUCUUGCUGGCAUGGAGUCCAUAGAAUAAUCUAGUUUCUCGUCAGAGAUUUUAAACUCAAACUGUUAAAGAAAAGUGAUUUGAUCCACUUAGGUUUUUGGGUUCUUUCCCCCCUGCAGUACAGAGGAACAAAUCUAGAGUUUUUUACAGUCUAGGAGAAGCUCUACACAAGCAAGCUACACUUCCUUUUUUCUUUUCUUUUUGCUUA
RNAcentral lists this small RNA (2557 nucleotides) under Rattus norvegicus (Norway rat). Its description in RNAcentral is "uncharacterized LOC102547371". The record is from RNAcentral. Lineage: Eukaryota; Metazoa; Chordata; Mammalia; Rodentia; Muridae.